RNAcentral lists this long non-coding RNA (819 nucleotides) under Sus scrofa (pig). RNAcentral's name for it is "lncRNA (ENSSSCG00015035381.1)". The record is from RNAcentral. Lineage: Eukaryota; Metazoa; Chordata; Mammalia; Artiodactyla; Suidae.
AUCCAUCCAUCCAUCCAUCCAGUCUUUAUCAAGACUCUCCUGUGUAAACAGUGAUACAAAUAAAAGGACAGAACAUGGCGAGACACUUAAUUUCCUCCCUUCUUUCGACUCAAAUAUCUAUCCACCCAGUUAUCCAUCCAUCCAUCCAUCCAUCCAUCCAUCCAUCCAUCCAUCCAGUCUUUAUCAAGACUCUCCUGUGUAAACAGUGAUACAAAUAAAAGGACAGAACAUGGCGAGACACUUAAUUUCCUCCCUUUUUUUGACUCAAAUAUCUAUCCACCCAGUUAUCCAUCCAUCCAUCCAUCCGUCCAUCCAUCCAGUCUUUAUCAAGAGUCUCCUGUGUAAACAGUGAUGCAAAUAAAUGGACAGAACAUGGGGAGAGACUUAAUUUUCUACCUUCUUUCUACUCAAAUAUCUAUCCACCAGUUAGCCCUCCAUUCAUCCAUCCAUCCAUCCAUCCAUCCAGUCUUUAUCAAGACUCUCCUGUGUAAACAGUGAUACAAAUACAAGGACAGAACAUGGCGAGACACUUAAUUUCCUCCCUUCUUUCGACUCAAAUAUCUAUCCACCCAGUUAUCCAUCCAUCCAUCCAGUCUUUAUCAAGAGUCUCCUGUGUAAACAGUGAUGCAAAUAAAUGGACAGAACAUGGGGAGAGACUUAAUUUUCUACCUUCUUUCUACUCAAAUAUCUAUCCACCAGUUAGCCCUCCAUUCAUCCAUCCAUCCAUCCAUCCAUCCAUCCAUCCAGUCUUUAUCAAGAGUCUCCUGUGUAAACAGUGAUGCAAAUAAAUGGACAGAACAUGGGGAGAGACUUAAUUUU